GAGUUUGAUCCUGGCUCAGGACGAACGCUGGCGGCGUGCCUAACACAUGCAAGUCGAACGGAGUUAAUGAUUUCGGUUAUUGACUUAGUGGCGAACGGGUGAGUAACGCGUGAGUAACCUGCCCUGGAGUGGGGGGACAACAGUUGGAAACGACUGCUAAUACCGCAUAAGCCCACGGCCCGGCAUCGGGCUGCGGGAAAAGGAUUUAUUCGCUUCAGGAUGGACUCGCGUCCAAUUAGCUGGUUGGUGAGGUAACGGCCCACCAAGGCGACGAUUGGUAGCCGGACUGAGAGGUUGAACGGCCACAUUGGGACUGAGACACGGCCCAGACUCCUACGGGAGGCAGCAGUGGGGGAUAUUGCACAAUGGGGGAAACCCUGAUGCAGCGACGCCGCGUGGAGGAAGAAGGUUUUCGGAUUGUAAACUCCUGUCGUUAGGGACGAUAAUGACGGUACCUAACAAGAAAGCACCGGCUAACUACGUGCCAGCCGCCGCGGUAAUUC
RNAcentral lists this ribosomal RNA (503 nucleotides) under uncultured bacterium. Its description in RNAcentral is "bacterial SSU rRNA". It matches the Rfam family "Bacterial small subunit ribosomal RNA", at positions 9 to 526 of the family's 1533-position model. The record is from RNAcentral.